UGGGGAAUAUUGGACAAUGGGCGCAAGCCUGAUCCAGCAAUGCCGCGUGUGUGAAGAAGGCCUUCGGGUUGUAAAGCACUUUUAUCAGGAGCGAAACGCUGUCGGCUAAUACCCGGCGGAACCUGACGGUACCUGAGGAAUAAGCACCGGCUAACUUCGUGCCAGCAGCCGCGGUAAUACGAAGGGUGCAAGCGUUAAUCGGAAUUACUGGGCGUAAAGCGUGCGUAGGCGGUUUCUUAAGUCUGCUGUGAAAUCCCCGGGCUCAACCUGGGAAUGGCAGUGGAUACUGGGAGGCUAGAGUGUGUCAGAGGGUGGUGGAAAUUCCCGGUGUAGCGGUGAAAUGCGUAGAGAUCGGGAGGAACAUCAGUGGCGAAGGCGGCCACCUGGGACAACACUGACGCUGAGGCACGAAAGCGUGGGGAGCAAACAGGAUUAGAUACCCUGGUAGUCCACGCCCUAAAACGAUGCGAACUGGAUGUUGGUCU
RNAcentral lists this ribosomal RNA (485 nucleotides) under uncultured bacterium. RNAcentral describes it as "partial 16S ribosomal RNA". It matches the Rfam family "Bacterial small subunit ribosomal RNA", at positions 355 to 829 of the family's 1533-position model. The record is from RNAcentral.